Long non-coding RNA from Bombyx mori (domestic silkworm), 531 nucleotides. RefSeq lists it as uncharacterized. The transcript has 2 exons. Lineage: Eukaryota; Metazoa; Arthropoda; Insecta; Lepidoptera; Bombycidae. The record is from RefSeq and is a predicted model, not a curated record.
GUGUGUACUUAGCUUAAAUUCCUUGUCUAUGUCCAACCAUAGACAGUCAAUUUAGUUCCAUCUUUAGCCGCUAGGUGCUGCCAGCAAGUAUAAAGGAAGCGCAGCCAUCUUUGAUCUUCAUAGUCUUCACCAGGAAGAACUUCCUGCAAUGCUGUAUGUUUUCCUUCUCGGCACAUAAUAUCGGUUUUAUUGUUAUGUAAAACCGUAAUAUUGAUGUGCCUUUGGAAAACAUACAGCAUUGUAUUAUGAAGACGUGUUUGUUAUCUGCUGGUGAAAUUAUUAAGCACAACGCUAUGAUGAAAUAGAAAGUCGACAGCGCUGCUUUAUGCAGAAGGAUUGUUUUACAGGCAAAAUUUUCUUUUUGAAAAAGAAGAGAAAAAAGAGAAAAAAAGAAAACAGAGUUUGGCAACAUCUGCAGACUUAGGAUCAAUUUUAAAACUAGCACCAUAUGCACCAUCUUCUAGUUGCUGGUAAGUAUGCUGGCAAAGAGGAUUGACACCAGCUUAUUUUCAAUAAAUCUUCUCCUGUGUA